GGAGGAUCAUUAUCGUAGGGCUUCGGCCCUGUCGAGAUAGAACCCUUGCCUUUUUGAGUACCUUUCGUUUCCUCGGCAGGCUCGCCUGCCAAUGGGGACCACAAAAAACACUUUGCAGUACCUGUAACAGUCUGAACAAACAAAACAAAAAUUAAAACUUUCAACAACGGAUCUCUUGGUUCUGGCAUCGAUGAAGAACGCAGCGAAAUGCGAUAAGUAGUGUGAAUUGCAGAAUUCAGUGAAUCAUCGAAUCUUUGAACGCACAUUGCGCCCUUUGGUAUUCCUUAGGGCAUGCCUGUUCGAGCGUCAUUUAAACCUUCAGGCUAAGCUUGGUGUUGGGUGACUGUCCGCUUCACUUCGGACUCGCCUCAAAAUUAUUGGCGGCCGGUACAUUGGCUUCGAGCGCAGCAGAAACGCGAACUCGGGCCCGUCGUAUUGGCUCCCAGAAGCUAUCUUCACAAUUUUGACCUCGGAUCAGGUAGGGAUACCCGCUGAACUUAAGCAUAUCAAUAAGCGGAGGA
RNAcentral lists this ribosomal RNA (521 nucleotides) under uncultured Pleosporales. Its description in RNAcentral is "eukaryotic LSU rRNA". The stretch from base 156 to 309 matches the Rfam family "5.8S ribosomal RNA". Lineage: Eukaryota; Fungi; Ascomycota; Dothideomycetes; Pleosporales. The record is from RNAcentral.